Molecule: ribosomal RNA, 253 nt
Filed under: uncultured bacterium
Lineage: Bacteria
Description: partial 16S ribosomal RNA
Rfam family: Bacterial small subunit ribosomal RNA
Source: RNAcentral
GACGGAGGGGGCUAGCGUUGUUCGGAAUUACUGGGCGUAAAGAGCGCGUAGGCGGCUUAGCAAGUUGGAAGUGAAAUCCCGGGGCUUAACCUCGGAACUGCUUUCAAAACUGUUAGGCUAGAGUAUAGUAGAGGGUGAUAGAAUUCCUAGUGUAGAGGUGAAAUUCUUAGAUAUUAGGAGGAAUACCGGUGGCGAAGGCGGUCACCUGGGCUAUUACUGACGCUGAGGCGCGAAAGCGUGGGGAGCAAACAGG